Mustela lutreola (European mink) is the source of this 1444-nucleotide long non-coding RNA. RefSeq lists it as uncharacterized. NCBI's taxonomy places the organism in Eukaryota, Metazoa, Chordata, Mammalia, Carnivora, Mustelidae. The transcript is spliced from 2 exons. The record is from RefSeq and is a predicted model, not a curated record.
GCAGCUCUGGAACACACGUGGGUUCUGUGGGCUCCGAGCUGCUCCGGGGGACACGCCGCAGGCCCCUGUGGGCUGAGCUGGCAUCUCAGCUUGGAUGGGGGGGGACACUCUGCAGCAACACAGGGCUGGCAUUUCAGACGCUUCCUGCAACGCUCCCAAGUUGUGUUUUGGUUUCGGUUCUGUGUUUUCCACAGCCCCUGCAACGCUGUCCGUGUCCUGUUUCUUGGUCUGGAAGGUAUUUUGUGGAGGACCUCGCUUUGUGACCAGGCACUGGGCUGUCCAGAUGGGAUGUGUGCACUUUUCUCUUGUGGCUCCACACCCCACAUGAGGUAUAGGGGUGUGUGGCUCCCACAGGUUGUCCCCAGAGCGGAGGAAACGGGCUUCUGGCUGCCACCAGAGGGGCCUGGUGUCCAGCCCGGCGGAGGUCGGCAGUGCAGGAGAGGACAGACGGAGCACCCGGCCCUGGUGUUCCGGCGAACCUGCUGCAGGAUUUCUGAACUCCGCACGGAAGGACGUGGAGCGGGCUCUCAGCCAUUCCUGCCACCGCGGCCGUCGCUGCCCUCCGAGGGCUCGUAAACUCGGAAGGCGGUUCUCGGACAGCCCUGGAGCCCCCGCCCGGCCGACCCCAGCGUGCUUCGACGUGGUUCUCUCCGUCAAGCUGGCAGCAUCUGGCUGGUGCGAUGGUCCGCGCAGGUCAAGGUCACCAUCUGCCAACGGUCAGGAGAGGGUGAGGAGAGGCGUGGAGGUGUUCCAGAAUGCAAAUGGUGUGGACCCGCAGGGGAUUAGAGUUGUUGGAAGGCCUGGGCUCGGAAGCCAUCACUCAGGCGGGGAGGAGAGGAACGCGGGCUCCUUCCCAUAGAGCGGGAGCCCUCGCCCAGGGGACCCGCUGCCACUGACGAGCUCAGGGUGGGGGGGCAGGGGUUGUAGGCUGCCAGGUGCCUGGGGCUCAGGUUGAGGGGCUGAUACCGGGGGCUCCUUGGGCACGUCCAGGGCACAGAGGAGACUCCAUGAGUCAGCGGCUUCUAAGUCUGCACGAGACAAGACCCUUCACACGCCUUUCUCCGGUUGGUAGGGGAAGCAGCCCAGCCUCCCAGCGCACGGCGGGCGGGAUGCUCGUUUUUAUUUUACCUGCUUUACUGUCUCGGCCGAAGUGGCUCCACGACGUCCAGCCACGCACAACCUGGCCUUCUGAGUUUCCACUCACUCCCUUGCGCACUCAGUGGAAACUCUUCUGGUGCCUGCUACGUGUCGUGGGACGCUCUCCCAGACAGCGGGGACCCAAGAGCUUCCCAGCUCUGGUGGUUGGAAAUUUCUUGGUUUUAAGUUUCAAUUUCAUGCACUUUUCCUGAAACAUUGGCAUGUACGACUGGUGGCUGUAGGAGGAUCCCUCCAAGACCGUGUCUGGCUGGGCCCGAAGCGUGGACAUUAAAUGAUUUAUGGUUCA